UAGCUAUCUUUCCUUCUAGCAUUGGAACUCAUUCAGUAGAGAAUAAGAUAUACAGGAUUCUCAUACAAAAUUUUAAAAUAAACAUGAAUUCAGUGUUAGCCUUAUUUGCUGUGCUUGUCUUCCUCUUGGGUGCAAACACUUCACAGGCCUGGUAAGGGAACGUACUGGCAUGUUAAGAACGGCGAGGCAAUGCUAAUGACUCAAGGCCUUAAGGACGUACGGAUUUCUGUUGAUUCCACUCUCCCCAACAGAAAGAGUGCCACAAAUGUUGUUGAGGACAUUGUGCAUGAGAAACUAAGUGUUGAUGAGUCUGAUCCGAUACCAGAUUUGACCAUAUACCAUGGUGAUUCUCACUUGAAAGGAAAGGACUCAUGUGAAGAUAAGUCUGAUCAUGUGCCAGAUUUGACCAUAUAUCAUGGUGAUUCUCAUUUGAAAGGAAAGAAGAAUUUAUAUGAAGAUGAGUCGUCUGAUCCUCUACCAGAUUUGACCAUAUAUCAUGGUGAUUCCCAUUUGAGAGGAAAGAAUUCGUAUGUUGAUGAGUCAGAUCCUAUACCGGAUUUGACCAUAUACCAUGGUGAUUCUCAUUUGAAAGGAAAGAACUCAAAAGUAGAUGAGUCUGAUCCUAUACCAGACUUCCCAUCUCACACGAAAAAACUCAAAUUCAGAUGAGUCUGAUCCCAUACCAGACUUGACCAUAUACCAUGGUGACUCUCAUUUGAAAGGAAAGAACUCAAAAGUAGAUGAGUCUGAUCCUAUACCAGACUUAACCAUAUACCAUGGUGACUCCCAUCUCACAGGGAAGAACUCAAAUUCAGAUGAGUCUGAUCCUAUACCAGAUUUAACCAUCUACCACGGUGAUUCUCAUUUAAAUGGAAAGAACAUAGAUAUGGCCGAGUUCCAUCCUAUACCAGAUUUGACCAUCUACCAUGGCGAUUCCAAUUUAAAAGGAAAGGAAUAAUCUGUGCAUGGAUGUGCAUGGUCUGGUGAUCCAGUACCAGAUCUUACAAGCUACACACUGCAUGACAAAAGCAAUAUAUGUAACACAAGAAUAAAAUUGUUCCCUUGUCUUUGUUUCAUUUGUCUGUCACCUUGUUAGUUGAGAACAAGAAGUGUAUGUGUCUUUAAGUUUUCUACUGGUUUGCAUGUACUGAGCUAGUGCGAGCGAGAUCGAGUAUUACUGUUUGGUUUUUAUUUCAUGCAGUUUCACGUUUUAUCA
Long non-coding RNA from Daucus carota subsp. sativus, 1216 nucleotides. RefSeq lists it as uncharacterized. The transcript has 2 exons. The record is from RefSeq and is a predicted model, not a curated record. Lineage: Eukaryota; Viridiplantae; Streptophyta; Magnoliopsida; Apiales; Apiaceae.